UUUUGAUUAUCACCAGGGUCGUUUGUAACCCUAAACCCAAUUUUGCAACACCUUCUCCUCACAUCCGCUUGAUCUUGAGCAGUUCUUCCAACGAUUUUAACACUAAACCCAGGGCUCCAAAUUCUUUAACAACUGAAACAGAGGAAUACGUGAUUCACAAUUGCAAAUCGUCGGUACCUACCCAGUGAUCUGUCAGAUUCAACUUGAAUUCAAGUCUCAGAUGUAUAUUGAUUCUUGUAAAUGCUACUCAUUAGAGAUACUAGUUAAAAGUCAAGGUCUUUAAUCUUUUAGGCAUUCAAGUACUUAGCACAGAUUGACAGAUUCUAAAGAUUCUUUGUAAGUAAUUUGAGUCUUAUAUGUUCAAAUUUUCAUCAGAGAUACAUAGUUGACGCUUUGGAGGUACAUAACGAAGGAAGAGAAGACGAUGUUCCGAAGCCAACAAGAUGGUUUAUUCGUACUACAUUAUUACUAAAUUUAUUUUCUUAUCCUUUGAUCAUGAGUAUCUUUUGUGUAAACUAGAGUUGGCAUAUAGUAUACUAUAGAGGCUGCAGAUAGUAUACUAUAGAGGAUGCAAGGUGCUACAGAUGAAUGCCCAUGAGAAUGGAAGAAACAUUAAGAAGAUGCAAAGAGAUUGGACUGCAAAAAGAAUGUUAUUUAUAAUGGUUUAGUUAGAUGGUUUUAUUGUAAAUGUUCUCAAGACUAUCUUGUAUAAUAUGAAAUGGUUAUCUAAAUCAAAGUGCGUGUAUAUUUUCGCUGCAAGUUUGCCAUGGGGAAACUUCCCAUGUGACAUAUGUUUCAUACUUGCAUCACUUUAG
This 815-nucleotide long non-coding RNA is filed under the name Helianthus annuus (common sunflower). Its description in RNAcentral is "hypothetical non coding rna". The record is from RNAcentral. Lineage: Eukaryota; Viridiplantae; Streptophyta; Magnoliopsida; Asterales; Asteraceae.